UCCCUGGUGACUCAGCUGGUAGAGAAUCUGCCUGCAAUUCAGGAGACCUGGGUUCAAUCCCUGGAUUGGGAA
RNAcentral lists this transfer RNA (72 nucleotides) under Bos taurus (domestic cattle). It matches the Rfam family "tRNA". From Rfam's summary of the family: Transfer RNA (tRNA) molecules are approximately 80 nucleotides in length. RNAcentral also lists the same sequence under 2 other names. The record is from Rfam by way of RNAcentral. Lineage: Eukaryota; Metazoa; Chordata; Mammalia; Artiodactyla; Bovidae.